AAUGUACUCUGAUAAUCAUAGCAGCAAACAGGUACAACAGAGUCACUGUUAAAAUGUACUCUGAUAAUCAUAGCAGCAAACAGGUACAACAGAGUCACUGUUAAAAUGUACUCUGAUAAUCAUAGCAGCAGACAGAUACCUGAUAUUUAUUCAAUGUCCUGGCAUAUGAUCAAGACCAACUUCAAAACCAGUGGUAUUGUCCACAAUACUUAUACGUCCGUGAUAUACAUAACUGCUGAACCUUUUCGUACAAGGAAAACACGAAGCUCCCAAGUACUUAUGGGCCGAAUUUCUGGUCGGUUUUAUGUUGUGUUGGAGAUCGGUAUCAUUAGUGUCAACUCUACAACAAGACUGCUCAUUUUAUUAUCAUGAUUAUAUUAGCAGAUGAUAAGUAACAGUAGGAAAAGCUUGUCUAUUGUAACAUUUAGUUGAAUAAUUUGAUAUUUUCACUCUGGCCAUCACGCGCAUUCAAAAUACGUAAAAUUCACUUGUAGACAAGGCAAGGCCAUUAGUGCUACAACUACUACUGAGUACUAUGUUUUACAUGGUGACUGUAAAGUGUAAACCGUACUACAACUUGCUUGGAAUGAUGUCAACAUUCUUUCUGAUUAAGUCAUUAUUCUAAGUUUGUCCCAAAACUUACUGUUCUUUGUUUCUUUUUUUAUAAUUACCGAAUAUGAAUUCAUCGUCCGAGCAGCAGGCCUAUCCUGACGAUGUAUCCACCCAAAUCCGAGUUGUAAACGCUUUCCGCAGUGGUAUUGACGUUCGCAAUAAUCCCGUUGCCCUAAAGAGACUCGCAGAGAAACGUUCUUCUUCUAUAUCCUCGGAAACCAUUGAAAGUACCCUUCGAAACAUCGAGAGAGAAGACUCGAAACGGGGCGUUAUUCAAACCAUCGAAGAGGAAGGGGAAACAUCGGAAAAGAAGAAAAAUGUAGAUAAUGCAGAUGGCGCGUCAAAUCACAGUGUUGAAACUGCAGUGUGAGAGGCCUAAACACACUAGACAUCCAGUCUAACCUUCGUAGGCCGGCUUUUUCUUGUGAUAAUAACGUGUGUAGUGAACAUAGGCCAAUUCAUGGUGUGGUUAUCAUUGGUUUGCAAGUAUUUAAAUUUAUAAAAAUCAAUGUGAAAAUCUCCACGAAUCUCAUCUUUCUUCUCUUUCCUGCUAUAGUGUUGGUGUUGCAUGCUAGGACUAACUUCAUUUCAUUUUAUUACAUGCUAGGACUAACUUCAUUUCUAUUUUAUUACAUGCUAGGACUAACUUCAUUUCCAUUUUAUUACAUGCUAGGACUAACUUCAUUUCAUUUUAUUACAUGCUAGGACUAACUUCAUUUCCAUUUUAUUACAUGCUAGGACUAGCUUCAUUUCCAUUUUAUGACGUAUUAUGUUUUUAGAAAGUACCAUUAAGUGCAUGUUUUCUAAGCGGGUUUUGUGAAACACGUGAUAACGAGCUAAAACCUUAUGUUUCCAGGUUUUACGAAGGAGAGGUAAUACUUACCUAAAUGAAGAAAAACGUCCUUAGUCCAUCUCCGGAAUGUUCAAAGUUUGUACCGUUUCAGGUUAUUUAAAUUAGAACGUAGAAGCAAACGUUUUUUUGCUUUUUCAUCGAAGUGUUUAAUGUAUUAUAAACAACUUUAAAAGGUAUUUCCGUAUUAUUGUGUGUGGUUUAGAUGUUGUUCACGAUUACAAAGUUGCACAAGAAAUGUUCUUAGCAGAAGCUAGUUUGGCAGGUAACUUAGCAUGUGAUGUCAUUUUUGUUUGUUAUCUUUUUCCGUGUUUUGUUACUUUUUCAAGUUUUAGCAUAUUCAAAAAACAACGAUUAACGUAGGCAGUUAGCUUACAAGUGAAAAGUCUAGGGGUGGGCUCCAUGACUGAAAAUGUUUGUGUGGUGAACGGUGUGCCUUUUACAGUGAAGUUUGGGAACUUACAAAAGGGAGAGAGGAAAUAUGCAUAAUCACUGGACCACAUGCCAAGGUGAGCCCUAGAAGAUUCAAGGAUAUGGUGCCGAAAUACACAUCGAUCUGCAUCACUAGAGGGCGCUACCCUCUCAUGAACAGAAACUCAUAUUGAAGGUGAUAUUUAAACACCUAGUUAGUAUUUGAUUGCGUGUUAUAUAUAUAUAUACACGCAUAAUUAUAUAUAUAUACAUAUUUACAUACAAAUUCGUGUGUCUUCAUGUUACUCAAGUACUCCCAUUAGAUAUCACCUCCCCCCCCCCCCUUUAAUUAGACGGAAAUAUUCAAAUUUACUUGCAGUAGUUAACUACGUGUACUGUUACAAUCACAAUUAACAUCUCGGCUCUUCUUACUAGCCAAAUGUAAUAAACCUAGCUGGUGUUGAUUAUAGGAGAUCCUUACAAGUUUACAAAUGUGUUCGUCUUCGGGAAGUUAAGUUCCUGAAAUUUAAUAUUCAUUCAAUAAUCAGAAAUAUAUAUAUACCGUUUCUGUGUGUGAUUAACAGUUUUGUUUUUUAGUUUCUAUAUUUGAAAAUCAGAUUUCGAUUUUAACAAAUUCCAACGAAAAUGAAACUCUAUCCUUUUCGUAUCACAUGUUGAGAAAUUCCAAUUUCAAAGAUAAAAGUUACGAUAGAGUAAAUUGUACGUUCAAUUCACUAAUUUCGUAAUACUUUUGAAACUUGGUGUUAAUUGUCUAGAAUUUGUCGAGAGUAAAUUUUCUUGGUCUUAGAGAUAUAUGGUUCUCAUACAGAAGAAUAACUUUGUACUAUCAAUCACGUGAUUUGUUACGACCGCUUCUUGUUCUUUAACCUACGUAUAAUUGUACCUUAAUGGAAAACUGUUGCGGAUGCCCUCUUGCGGAAAAAAAUGGAAACUAUUUAACAUCGGUUGAAAUAAUUAUGAAAAUUCGUCAUUCUUACCUUUCAAUAAAAUAUUAUGUACAAUUUAUUUAUGUUAUCAAACUUUACCAAAGUUUGUAAAGUGUGAACUUUAUGAUGUAAAAUUUGUGCUUCUUACUUCAUCAUUAAAUUAAAGCUAAAUAUGAAUUUCUUGUCCUUUAUGCUUUCCGCCAGAGGGCAUAUAAAAUUGCAUAAAUACGAUUAUACAUAGUUGGUUUUUUCUUGAAACAUUUACUGAUAUGUGUGUGUGAUUUUCCAAGUAUAAACGUGGUUUUAGUUUUUGUCUAACAAACUUAUCGUAUGUGGUAUUUGCGUAGAAGACAAGAGGCUAUCUUUAGAGUAUUUUAUCGAACUUGUGAUUCCCAGCAGUUCUGACCUGAUUUAAAAUCUUUUAGCUUAUGGAUUGUGACAGUGGUUACCAUUUCUUGUUGAACUAAUGGUGCAAUGAUUGUUACCGAUGAUGUACAUUUCCAUCCACGUCACAUAUGUUACUAAAUAAACUUGAAUUCCCAUCUCAG
RNAcentral lists this long non-coding RNA (3368 nucleotides) under Limulus polyphemus (Atlantic horseshoe crab). Its description in RNAcentral is "uncharacterized LOC111083512". The record is from RNAcentral. Lineage: Eukaryota; Metazoa; Arthropoda; Merostomata; Xiphosura; Limulidae.